This 459-nucleotide unclassified non-coding RNA is filed under the name Hevea brasiliensis (rubber tree). The record is from RNAcentral. Lineage: Eukaryota; Viridiplantae; Streptophyta; Magnoliopsida; Malpighiales; Euphorbiaceae.
UUCAAUGGAAAGGGGGGAAUCGCCGUUUCACAGCCGUUCCUCUACAACUACCUUUCGCCCAACAUGAUCACAAACGAAGACAGAGAAUUGCGUAGAUAGGAGGACGAAACGCCCACUUGUCCUGAUCGGAACGAUUGAAGAAAGAAAGAGAAUGGUGGCCCCUUUCGCCCAGGGGACAUCGUCGGAGAACAAUGUCGGGGACAGGGUGAGAACCUUCCGUUGGUUACGCCCUUUAAGUGUUGGUUCUUCCAUAUUUAGAUAUGGAGAUAGAUCCAGAGAUAGAGAUCUAUAUCUAAAUAUCGAUAGAUGGAUAUAUUGAGAAAUGGAUAUUGAUCUGGUUUCAAGAUCUAUGAACAAGAGAGAUCCCUAAAUAUCCAUUUGAAAAAAGAGAUGAAUAAAUAGAUAGGGCGGAGCCAGCUGAAGGAAGGUCGCGUUAGCGCCCCUGCAAUCUUUCUAAAG